GGGGGUUUGGCUCAGUGGUAGAGCGCUUGCCUAGCAAGCACAAGGCCCUGGGUUCGGUCCCCAGCUCCG
Molecule: transfer RNA, 69 nt
Filed under: Rattus norvegicus (Norway rat)
Lineage: Eukaryota; Metazoa; Chordata; Mammalia; Rodentia; Muridae
Rfam family: tRNA
About the family: Transfer RNA (tRNA) molecules are approximately 80 nucleotides in length.
Source: Rfam by way of RNAcentral